Molecule: long non-coding RNA, 302 nt
Organism: Mytilus trossulus (common blue mussel)
Lineage: Eukaryota; Metazoa; Mollusca; Bivalvia; Mytilida; Mytilidae
Exons: 3
Source: RefSeq, a predicted model, not a curated record
AAUCUGGUAAAAAUUUGGUUGUUUACUUCCGGUGCAGGUUACUUUCUUAUAUGCAAUGAAAUGUAGUGUGAAAUUUUCACUGUAGCACUGGAAAGGAUUAAACUUUAUUCAUGCAAAGUAUUUCUUUGGUUGAAAUAAAGUGUUAACCAUGAUGUGACAAGCAUUCUGUUGAAAAAUCUUAUAUGUGAACUGGUCUGCAGAUGACACUUUAGCAUUGAGGCAAAAGAUACCAAGUUUUGAUGAAAAAAGAAGGAAGAAGGACAAUGGACCAAAACACACCAAAACAGACCUUCAAAUGAACU